This 2480-nucleotide long non-coding RNA is filed under the name Equus asinus (donkey). Its description in RNAcentral is "lncRNA (ENSEASG00005027145.1)". Lineage: Eukaryota; Metazoa; Chordata; Mammalia; Perissodactyla; Equidae. The record is from RNAcentral.
AAAAAUUCAGCUAUUAAUAAAACAAAGGCUUCACAAGGGUUCUAUCAAAAAGUACAAAUUUUAAAUAAAUGCGUCAGAAAACUGGUAACCAGAUACACCAACCAGUCACAACCUUGAGGGAAGGGAGGAGGUGCCCAGAACCCCAAGAAGAGGCUAGGUGCAGGGGUCUUUGGAUGCCUGUGGGCCGGGUCCUGGAGCUACCAGGCAAGGGCCCUGACAGUUUUCCUGUCCUUGGAAAAAUGGGUCUUUACUUGUCCAGUGUAGGAAAUUCUCAGUCUGAAGCAGAAAGGCACAGAAGUCAUUGAUAAGGCACUUGUGACUCCAGCCCUUAGGCACACAGAGUGGAUGAAUGGGCAGUCAGAACCAUAGGGCUCCCGGCUCUGGCUGUGCUCCUGAUUGGUGCCACCUCUGGGUUUGGCCCCAGCUUAAAUUAAGGUGGACCACGUGGACGGCAUAAUCCCUGCAGCCAGGGGCCUGGAGUCGGUCUUUAGAACAGAUGUGUUUGUUGCUUCACUGGCAAACUGGUGUCUGGCCCCGCCAGGGCAAGAAGGAUCACACUGGCCCCCAAGGAAUCCCCUCAGUGGGGACACCAGGCCUCCUGUCCAAUCCUGUUCACUGAGCCACUGUGGGCACCCACCUUAGACGAGGAACUCCCUGGCAUCUAGGCAUCUGGAGAAGCCCCAGACCCCAGAGCCAAGGUUUCUCUGGAUGGCAGGCAGCGGCCCAAGAAGCUGGCAUUGUCGAAAUCAGUCUCCAACAGCUGCUGGCCCAUACCCAUGGUCAUUGGUGGCAGGCCUCCCUGGUGACAUUAGGCAGUGGGUAAGCGAAGAGGGAGAAGUCCAGGAUGUACUUAGGUAGCACGUCCUGCAGCAGGGCCCGGGGAGCACUGCACAGGUGGUAGUGCAGGCUUUCAGGGCUGGCCGGCCGGUACCAGGACUGGCGAGCUGGGAAUCGCACAUGGGGCGGUGCCUGCACCCACUCCAGCACCUGGUUGGCAUCAGCCUCCAGCCUCUCAUAGGAGCCUACAAAGUCAUAGCGCACCGCACAAGGCUGGCACAGGUGGUACACGGGCAUCCAAUGCUCAUUCAUGCGCUCAGGGUCCUCGUCCACCAGGUAUCUCAGAAACUCCUGGAAGGUGACAUCAUCCCCUGCGGGGCUGGGGCCCGCUCCAGCCCUGUACCGCCGCACGAUCUCAGCGCCAUAGCGCUGUUGGUACUCUCGGAUCUCGCCAAACUUGUUGCGGUAAGCAGAGAGGAGGCGCUCCAAGGGGUCCCGCACAAACAGGAACUUGAAGUAGUGCUGCAGGCGGUAGCGAAUCUCCUCAGGCCGCAGGUCUGCUAGGAACACCAGAUCAUUGCGGUGGUCCAUCUUGAGGCGGACGUCCACGCUGUCCAGGACGCCGGCCAGCACCUUCAGCACCCGCUUCCAGUUAGAGCAAGCCACCUUGGGGACGUAGCAGUACAGGAAGCGGUAGCGGUCACUCACGAGGAUGUGGCGUAGCAGGGUCCGAUUCCGGACGUCCUGCCUCACCUGCAAGUCCGAGUCCCCAGCAUCCAGGGACAGCCUCCCAGGCCUGAGGACUGUCCCGCGCCAGGCCACACCCUCGCGAUUUGGAGGGUGCAGGGGAAGGGGCUUCAUCUCGGCCAGGAUGCCCCGCUCGAUCAUGAGCAGCAGCCCGCUGGAGGCCACGAUCACCGCGAACAUCAGCAUGGACGGCAGCAGCAGGGGCGGCCCCCCCAGCCCCGCCCGGGCCCUGCCCAGUGGGGGCCGCCUCAGCGCCCGGCCCAGGGGCUCGGCGCCAUUUGGGGCUGCCAGCGGGGUCAGCGGGCGGGGGAACAUGGUGCUCCCGGGGUGGGGGCCUGCGCGGGCAGCCCGAUCCGAGGGCCGCCCGGGAGGCGGGCUCGGGCUGGGGGCGGGAGCCGAGGGUUGGACCCGCAGCGCCGGGCGGGGGUCGAAGAGGGGAGCGCGGGCGGGAGGGUUGGCGCGCGCGGGGGUGGCCGGCUCCCGGGCUGCGGCGCCGGAGCGGGCGGCGGGCGGGCGGCGGGCGGCGCGGCGAGGGACCAGGGCCGGAUGUCCCGCCCGGCAGCUCUCCGCCCCCAGGCCCGCCGUGACACAGGCGCGGGGGCGGGCCCAGGCCGGGGGCGGGGAGAGGGGCGGGCGUCCCCGCAGGGAGCGGGCUACCAGGGAGCGUGCAGACCCCUACCCGGGAGAGGGCGCCUGAACCAGGGCCGCCCUAGUCCUCCGGGCUUCGGGGACAAAAGCUCGCAAGGCUCUGAAGGCAGAAAAGACCCGGGCCGCGGCGCCCUCUCUUGCGCAGCGCGUGCCCUCAGGGAGCUGGAUGGAGAGGGCCUGCGCCCAACACCCUGCCGCUCGCUCCGGCCUGGCCGAGCCCUUCCUCCCGCGGCGGGGGCCCCCAGCAGAGCUCUCUGCGAGUCCAAACUUUGGAGAGGCCCGUCUCUCUCGCUGGAAGCAGAGUCCCC